RNAcentral lists this ribosomal RNA (613 nucleotides) under uncultured fungus. Its description in RNAcentral is "eukaryotic LSU rRNA". It matches the Rfam family "Eukaryotic large subunit ribosomal RNA", at positions 24 to 666 of the family's 3401-position model. Lineage: Eukaryota; Fungi. The record is from RNAcentral.
CCCGCUGAACUUAAGCAUCUCAAUAAGCGGAGGAAAAGAAACCAACAGGGAUUGCCCUAGUAACGGCGAGUGAAGCGGCAACAGCUCAAAUUUGAAAUCUGGCGCAAGCCCGAGUUGUAAUUUGUAGAGGAUGUUUCUGGCGACGUGCCUUCCGAGUUCCCUGGAACGGGACGCCAUAGAGGGUGAGAGCCCCGUACGGUUGGAUGCCUAGCCUCUGUGAAACUCCUUCGACGAGUCGAGUAGUUUGGGAAUGCUGCUCUAAACGGGAGGUAUACGUCUUCUAAAGCUAAAUACCGGCCAGAGACCGAUAGCGCACAAGUAGAGUGAUCGAAAGAUGAAAAGCACUUUGAAAAGAGGGUUAAAAAGUACGUGAAAUUGUUGAAAGGGAAGCGUUCAUGACCAGACUUGGGCAGGUUGAUCAUCCGUGGUUCUCCGCGGUGCACUCUGCCUGCCCAGGCCAGCAUCAGUUCGCCCCGGGGGAUAAAGGCUUUGGGAAUGUGGCUCCCUCGGGAGUGUUAUAGCCCACUGUGUAAUACCCUGGGGUGGACUGAGGUUCGCGCUCUGCAAGGAUGCUGGCGUAAUGGUCAUCAACGGCCCGUCUUGUAACACGAAU